This 550-nucleotide ribosomal RNA is filed under the name uncultured bacterium. RNAcentral describes it as "bacterial SSU rRNA". It matches the Rfam family "Bacterial small subunit ribosomal RNA", at positions 355 to 896 of the family's 1533-position model. The record is from RNAcentral.
UAGGGAAUCUUCGGCAAUGGGGGCAACCCUGACCGAGCAACGCCGCGUGAGUGAAGAAGGUUUUCGGAUCGUAAAGCUCUGUUGUAAGUCAAGAACGAGUGUGAGAGUGGAAAGUUCACACUGUGACGGUAGCUUACCAGAAAGGGACGGCUAACUACGUGCCAGCAGCCGCGGUAAUACGUAGGUCCCGAGCGUUGUCCGGAUUUAUUGGGCGUAAAGCGAGCGCAGGCGGUUUGAUAAGUCUGAAGUUAAAGGCUGUGGCUCAACCAUAGUUCGCUUUGGAAACUGUCAAACUUGAGUGCAGAAGGGGAGAGUGGAAUUCCAUGUGUAGCGGUGAAAUGCGUAGAUAUAUGGAGGAACACCGGUGGCGAAAGCGGCUCUCUGGUCUGUAACUGACGCUGAGGCUCGAAAGCGUGGGGAGCGAACAGGAUUAGAUACCCUGGUAGUCCACGCCGUAAACGAUGAGUGCUAGGUGUUGGAGGGUUUCCGCCCUUCAGUGCCGCAGCUAACGCAAUAAGCAUUCCGCCUGGGGAGUACGACCGCAAGGUUG